RNAcentral lists this long non-coding RNA (4893 nucleotides) under Sus scrofa (pig). Its description in RNAcentral is "lncRNA (ENSSSCG00060070366.1)". The record is from RNAcentral. Lineage: Eukaryota; Metazoa; Chordata; Mammalia; Artiodactyla; Suidae.
UAGGCCGAUGGCUACAGCUCCGAUUAGACCCCUAGCCUUGGAACCUCCAUGUGCUGCGGGAGCGGCCCUAGAAAAGGCAAAAAGAUGAUCAAUCAAUCAAUCAAUCAAUCAAUAAAUAUAGAAUUUACUGAGUGCCUAAUCCUGGCCAGAUACUUUUCAGAUGUGAGUGGAUGGGACACAGAAUGUUUUUAUUUUUUGGAAUUGACACUGGAGGAAGGAGGAUUGGUGUUGAGACAGACAAUAUGUAAGUAAUAAACAAAUAGACACAGAUAAUUUCAGAUAGGUAUUUCUAUUUUUUCAUGACACUCUACCCAUCUAUUGAGUAUUUUACCAAGUACAAUAAAUAGAAAAAAAAAAGCAACAACUCAUACUUUAUGACUGAUAAAGAAGUUAAAACAACAAAUCUUCAAGAGAUGUUUUAUGUGUAUUUACGGUUUUCACAUUGUUAACGAGUCUAAGCUCAUUCUGCUCGCAGCAUGACAGGCAAAUAAAUAGGGAGUCAAGUUAUUGGGCAAGGAAUAACAACUUUUACUCUGAAAGCCAACAGACUGAGAAGAUGGAAGGCUAAUGUCUCAAAAAACCAUCUCCUCUCAGAAUUCGGGCUCCUUUUAUACAAGAAAGGGGAGUGGGGAGCAGGGGUGUGGUUAGUUGUUGCAGACUUCUUGGUGCAGAAAUCCUUUGUUCUUAUAAGCCCUCCAUCUAGGUCAGGUUCCUGUCAACCUCCAAUGAAACAAAUGGUAUUACUAUGUUCUGCAACUUUUUUUCUAAAGCUGUAAUACUCUUAAAGCUACAGCCUUAAGAAUAGGCUAUCUUGUAUAUUUCAUGCUAUAGACAGCAUCAUUUUGCAAAAGGUGUAGAAGCAGGAUGACUAAGCACAAGUGACAGAGGACAAAGGCAAAGGAACAUGUAAUAUGGAAUCAAGAUGGUUCUUCACUGUUAUAUGCUAAAGAGGGAAAAAGCUUUCUGUUUGGUUUGUCAGGUCAGAUGCUUGUUGAAAGGACCUGAGUUAAAGUGAGGACUUCCAUUGUGAGCUCUUGGUGGAGAAAUUAAGGGCCAGUUGCUUCUUUUACAAUGAUUUUAGUUUUGUGAGGUUUCUUUCUUUUAAAAGAAAGAGGAAAAAAAAUCUUUGUCCUAUAGGUAUAAAGCCAUUACUUGGACUAAUGGGGCAUUGAACUAACCGGAGGUACAAGGUGAACUCUUUUUAAACCUUUUUAUUGAUUCCUUUUGACUGUCAGGUUAAAGGAGAUGAGAUUAAAUGUAAUCCUUCUCCCCACCACCCUUCUUCACCACCCCAAGUAAUGUUUUCAUGCUUAGGAAAUGGCACUAAAAAAAAAGACACUUAUGUUUUCAUAUACUUUCUGUUUGCUAAGUGCAUUUAACUAAAAGUAAGAGACCAAGAGAAUACUGUGUAAUGGUAAAGUUUCUUGGGUACAGGUAACUGCAUAAGCAAAGGACUAUGAAUGGAUGAGCCACAUGUUGAGGGGAACUCAGUGUGGGUGGAAUGUGUCACAAUUCUCACUGCUUCAGUGUGAGAUUGAUUUAGGAGGUGUGAUCUAUUUGCAAAACCACUCUCAGGUCCUGGAAGCAGAGAAAGCCAGAGCCCAAGGGAACUGCCAGGAGCAUAGUUGGGGUAAGUCAAGUAUUUUUGGUAGAAGGAAGGAGUGUGGGCUGCCAACUGAGAUAAAGCUAAAGGCUGUUUAGCUGGGGUGGUGCUAGAGUUCCAAAGAUGGCUGGGAUCAACAGUGGGAGCUGGAAGAUGAGGCAUGGCCUUCUGGAUGCUCAGAACCAUCCUUGCUAUAUGCCACACUGGUGGUUUAAGAGCCUGGUCUCAACACAUAGUGGUAGAGGCAUGAGACAAAAAGAGGCAUGAGACAAAAGACAGGUUAGAGUAGGAACCUUCGUAUUGGUAUUUCUUAAAAUUAGAGCUAGAAAUUAAUGUAUAGAUUCUAUGCAAACCCAAUCAAAAUACCACUGUGCCUUUUUAUAGAAAUGGGCAGUUGAUUCUAAAAUUUAUUGGAAAUGCACAGGACCUUGAAUAGCUAAAACAAAUUUGAAAAUGAAGAAGAAUCAGGAGACUCAAACUUGAUUUCAAGACUUUCUCUACAGGUACAGUAAUUAAAGCAGUGAGGGCCACAAAAAUCUUGGUGGAGAGUGUUUGUAAUUGGUAAAAACUGAAAACAACUCAAAUCCAGACAUCAGAGAUGAUGUACUGCAUGAUUCCCCUUUUACAAAAUUCUGGAGAAAAUAAAAUUAUAAUGGUGGAAAUCAUUUGAGUAGUCUGUAGUCGCUAAGGAGAAAAUUGACCACAAGGGGCAUGAAAGAACAUAUUGGGUUAUGGAAAUGUUCUAUAACUUGAUUGUGGUGCUGCUUAUACAAUUGCAUUAUUUUAUUAUUUAUUGUUUUUUUGUUUUGUUUUUUUUUUGUUUGUUUGUUUGUUUUGGCUGCAACAUGAUGUGGGAUCUUAGUCCCCAGACCGUAAAUCAAACCUUGGCUGCAGCAGUGACAGUGCCAAGUCUUAACCACUAGGCCACCAGGGAACUCCCCAUUAUUUUAUUAAAUAAUCAAAAUGUAUGCUUAAAAUGAGUGAAUUUUAUUUUAUGUAAAUUAUGUCUUAAUGAAGUUGAUAUGAAAUGAAAAGGAGAGGUGGACCUUCUACUUUCCUCUUUGAAUUUAUGCCUAAAAUGAGGGUUUGGAAAGAUGUUCCUUUUAGUAGCUAUAACAUGUGAGUUUCCUAAGCAAUCUCUGAUAUGAACAUAAACUAGAAUAUUAUUGUAUUGCCUGAGUUUUGCAGCAUUGCAGGUGCCUGGAAUUAAUAACUUGGAGAACUUUUUUCUUUUUAAAAUAAAACAUUCAAUUUUUAGGAAGAUUUUCUGCUUGAGCACCUUGGGUAUCAGGCAAUGGCAUCAACUAAUAAUGUAUUUCACUUUAGCUCUGUUAGAGAAGGAUUUGAGCUAAGACUUCAGAGUUGUAAAGGAAAAAUGUUUUCUAGUCAAUGGAAUCCUGUCAAUAAAAUAAAUAUUUUGGGUAUGGUAAUACAAAAGAGGAAAAUUGCCCCAGGGAUAGAUCUCUUGGAUUGAGGAAGACUGAAGAAUUUGAGAACUGCCAAAGUUAUUAAAAUAUCUUACAUGCAAGCCCAAUCAGCAUUUUAGCUUCUUCACCAAAACAUUUCAAUUAAUUUUCCCUACUGUGAGUUAUCUCGAAAUACUCCCUGAAGAUAGAUACUAUCUUACUUGCAUUUAUAUUUCUCUCAGUUUCCAUUUGCACAUGGGGCUGUUUCUAGGCCCAGCAUACAUAUUUUGUUGAUCUAUAUCUGCUUUUUGGCCGUUCCAAAUGUAGGCUUUACUUUUUCUUCUAAUGCAACCCCUCAAAAUUUAUUUCUCUUCUCUCAAAUUCUUUCUGGUGACUCUUGUUCCAGAUGAACUGUAGACUUAAUUUAGCCAUAUCUAAAUAUUGGUGGUAAUGAAGGAAUUGGAGGCUGAUAAAAGUUUAAACUGACAUAGGCAGCAACACUGGAUUUUCUUUGCAGAAUGAUUCAACAUGAAACUGUGAUAAAGGAGAUGUUUUCUCUGAAGUAGGAAGAUGUUAAAUACAUCAUGCUGGAGCAAUGGAGUUGUAGGAAAGAUUUCAUUACAUAUAAUUUGGGUUUCCAUUUGCUUUGCCGAGGCUUGGGCAUGUAUUAGUUACAGCAGUAGCUCUAACAGGUUCUCAAAUCUCAUGUGUUCAACAGAAUAAAAUUUGCUUUUAGGUCACGCAAAGUUGCUCUUGCAAGUCCUGGUUGUCAUUAACAAAGCCAGGCUCCUUCUGUCUUAUAGCUCUGCAUUUCCAUGGCUUGGGAACAUAUUAGGAGUCAGGCUUAGAAGUGGUGUACAUCACGUCUGCCACAUUCCGUUGACUUACAUGCUUUCUUUUGUCUCCUCCUGCACUAUAAUGAGACAGUUUGGGAAAUUUACUCUAUUUUGAUCAUGAGCGAGAAAAGGGAACCAGGUUUGUUGCAGCAAUCAUUGUCUCUGUAGCAUAUAAGUGCCCUGCACACACUAAAUAUAAAUUCAAUUACUUUUUAAUUAGGACCCUCAGAAUGUCACCUCUCUGACCUGGAAUAAAAGUGACACAUAGUGAAGACAGAUUUGGAUUCUCCACCCUUGGAGGCAUUUCUGGUACUGACUGCAGUCGAUGUUGAGCCAAGAAAUGCUGCUCACCAGGCUGGUGAGAGAAAGUUCAAAUGUGUUUGCAUGUGUGUGUCACACUGAACUCACUGCCUCCGAAGCAUGUGGCAUUCCCUCUAGCAACAGUAAGAAAUUUUACUGCUGCCCAGUGAUGGAUGCACAUGGAAUUGAUAGAUGUGUGGAGGGGCAGGUUGCUAACCUUGAUGUUUUUGGAUUAAAUGUGGUAUGGGGUGUGACAGCAUAUGCAAAUCUCUUGUCCUGUUCCCCAUCACAUUGUUUCCUACAACAUAUUUAUCAAAUAAAUUUAGAAAACAUAAUCCCAUAGAUAAAACUUAAGUUAAACUUUUCAUUUUUGGUUCCCUCAGGAGGUUCCAUUCACAACUCUCACGGAAUCGCAUGGUGACCGUGACCCACAUUCUCGUUUUAUGCUUCCGUGUUUAUUUCUUAAUUUUUUUUUUUUUUUUGUCUUUUUGAGGGUCACACCCACAGCAUAUGGAGGUUCCCAAGCUAGGGGACUAAUUGGAGCUAUAGCCAUGGCCUACACCAGAGCCACAGCAAUGCUGGAUCCUUAACCCACUGAGCGAGGCCAGGGAUUGAACCCGUGUCCUCAUGGUUCCUAGUCGGAUUCGUUAACCACUGAGCUAUGACGGGAACUCCUGUGCUUCCAUGUUUAAACAUGAGAAUUGUUAUGUGGUAAUUUGCUUGAAGUUACUAACGCUUAGAGCUCUGG